CUACGGGGCGCAGCAGUGAGGGAUUUUGCGCAAUGGGGGAAACCCUGACGCAGCAACGCCGCGUGAGUGAAGAAGGCCUUUGGGUCGUAAAGCUCUGUCAAUUGGGAAGAAGUUAUCACUGUUUAAUAGAUGGUGAUAUUGACGGUACCAAUGGAGGAAGCGCCGGCUAACUCCGUGCCAGCAGCCGCGGUAACACGGGGGGCGCAAGCGUUAUUCGGAAUUAUUGGGCGUAAAGGGCGCGUAGGCGGUCCUGUCAGUCAGAUGUGAAAGCCCGGGGCUCAACCCCGGACGUGCAUUUGAAACAGCAGGACUUGAGUACGGGAGAGGAAAGCGGAAUUCCUGGUGUAGAGGUGAAAUUCGUAGAUAUCAGGAGGAACACCGAUGGCGAAGGCAGCUUUCUGGACCGAUACUGACGCUGAGGCGCGAAGGCGUGGGUAGCGAACGGGAUUAGAUACCCUCGUAGUC
RNAcentral lists this ribosomal RNA (465 nucleotides) under uncultured bacterium. Its description in RNAcentral is "partial 16S ribosomal RNA". It matches the Rfam family "Bacterial small subunit ribosomal RNA", at positions 339 to 795 of the family's 1533-position model. The record is from RNAcentral.